RNAcentral lists this ribosomal RNA (440 nucleotides) under uncultured bacterium. RNAcentral's name for it is "partial 16S ribosomal RNA". It matches the Rfam family "Bacterial small subunit ribosomal RNA", at positions 338 to 795 of the family's 1533-position model. The record is from RNAcentral.
CCUACGGGUGGCAGCAGUGGGGAAUAUUGCACAAUGGGGGGAACCCUGAUGCAGCGACGCCGCGUGAGUGAAGAAGUAUUUCGGUAUGUAAAGCUCUAUCAGCAGGGAAGAAAAUGACGGUACCUGACUAAGAAGCCCCGGCUAACUACGGGCCAGCAGCCGCGGUAAUACGUAGGGGGCAAGCGUUAUCCGGAUUUACUGGGUGGAAAGGGAGCGCAGACGGCGGUGCAAGUCUGGAGUGAAAGGCGGGGGCCCAACCCCCGGACUGCUCUGGAAACUGGAAAGCUGGAGUGCAGGAGAGGUAAGCGGACUUCCUAUUUUAGCGGUGCAAUGCGUAGAUAUUAGGAGGAACACCAGUGGCGACGGCGGCUUACUGGACUGCACCUGACGUUGAGGCUCGAAAGCGUGGGCAGCAAACAGGAUUAGCUACCCUUGUAGUC